Long non-coding RNA from Dunckerocampus dactyliophorus (ringed pipefish), 2531 nucleotides. RefSeq lists it as uncharacterized. Lineage: Eukaryota; Metazoa; Chordata; Actinopteri; Syngnathiformes; Syngnathidae. The transcript has 5 exons. The record is from RefSeq and is a predicted model, not a curated record.
UCAUGAUGACCACCAGGAGCUGUGACGGCCAAAUUCGGGGGGUGACGUCACCGAACCCUACCGUGGAAAAGGUGACGAUGCAGAAGUAGAAGGAGUUGAACAGGGAGAGGUUUUUCCCUGCGCGCUCCAGGUGCUGGAUUCCACACGUGCUGUGCAGAGUAGACAUUGAGCGCAUUUGGCAAGCCAGCAGUUGAGAAAGACGGGGAUGAAGAUGUUCCUUAUGGAUGGCCAGAAGAUCUGAUGAGGAAAUGAUUAUUUUAUCGAAUCACACGGGUUUUUGGCUUGUGACUGCAAGGUCCUCAGUGGGGAAACAAAGGCGGCGUGGGUUGAUGGCUGCCCAGACGUCAAGUGCAGCAACUAUUUCUGGUCCCAGUGCACCAGAGAGCAGAGAGAACCCUUCAGAGAUGCAAGAGAUGCUCCACAAACAGCUGUCACAUAAGCAGAUGAGUGUUACCAGGGACAUCAAUCAUCCCACAUGUGGCUCCAUACGGUACCUCUGCCCUGCAUCACUACUCCAAGGAUCCGACCUCCAAGUGCCUACAGUCGGACUGAUCCAGGUCGGAAUGAUGAUCCUGGGAUCCAUGGUGAAGAACACCUGUGGCUAUGCGGUACGCUCCCUUAACCCUUUAGAAUGAUCUUAAGCGACUUAUUUAGCGACAAAUCCAAAAAUGCUCAUGAAGGAACUUGGGCACGAGAAGCAGAGCGAGAACACGACAAGUCAUUGUUUGGGGAGGAAAAACAAGCUUAUUGGAAUAUUUUUAGAAACGUAUACUGUCUCUCUCUCCUCCGACCAUCUCUCAAGCUGUUGCCACAGCAACAUUGCUACAGACUGUACAUGAAGGGAAAGUGGUGAUGCUGCAGCACUGUAGCUCCGCGCAGGGCUGCAAAGUGUGCUUUUGUAACUACAGCAUAGUCGGACAACGUACCACAAGUGCUCUUUGACAUUUCCUAAUAUGAAGACGGAACACAAGGAUUUUGCUGUGAUGGGUUUGUAAACAGAAAUAUCAGCACAUUUAGUUUAGAAGAGUGAUUCAUCACAUUUCAGGAACCAUUUUUAACACAGUAUAUCUUCUCAAGCCACAGAAAGGAAACCUGGGCACACUUUAGAGUAGUCAGUGUACAGAUUGCAAAGUGGUAUAGAUUUACAAUCCACUGAAAAUGACACAGCACACACAGCCAUUGUUGUCGAAAUAGGCGGAAACACAAGUCGUGCCUAUACAGUAAAGCAUGGUGGUGGCAGUGUGACGGUCUGGGGCUGCAUGAGUGCUGCCGGCACCGGGGGAGCUGUGGUUUAAUGAGGGACACACAAAUUCCAACAUGUGCUGUGACACUGUGAAGGCGAGCAUGAUGUCAUUUUCAUACUGCAAGCUGUACACUGACUACUCUAAGUUAUAUCCAAGUUUACGUACUUUCUAUAGAAGAUAUCAUAUAACGGUCGCUGCAAUGUGAGGCUCACACUCACUUUUGUCAGAUGUCCCUCUUACCCAUCUAACGCAGUAGCUGGCUGACCAACCCCCCCUGCCCUCCAUGAAUCAGCAGCCCCUUCACUCACAUCAUGUUAGUCAUGUCAACAUUGCACAUCCUGCCCAUGCAAUGUAAGACGUUUAUAUUUAUGGACACCUUGCUUGGGCAGACGAAGCCAUUUAACUAAACAGCUCCCUACCUACCCUUCAUUGCCCGCCUUUAGUAGCACAUUAUAAACUACUACAUCUGUAACGCUAAGGUGUCUGUACUGUGUCAUACCUGUCGUUCUGGAAGCUCUGGUCCCCGAGCAGCAGGUCUCGGAAGCGGAAGCGAGGCGGCAACGGUGGCACCUCACUCUCCAGCUGCUCCAUCUUCAACCUGGAGAUGUCCAAGAUCACCCCGCCGGUGCUGCUGAUGGUGUGGCGUGGUCCCUUGCAAGCGCUGGAGGAAAUGGUUUAAAAAGUUAAACCCACCAAAGAAAGUGGGGGUAAAGGGAGCCGUCAAGACCAGCUGGAAGGACAUAUGAGGAGAGGAAUGGACAGACACAGCUGGAGUAGCAAGUGACGACCCACUCGCUGCACAUUUUGCCCGAAGACCUGCGAGAUGUCGGCGGCGCUGAGUCCCCCCUGACAGAGUCCUCUUCCCGGGUCAGUUGCAUCGGAGGAACCUGGAGGAUAAGCGCAGAGAAGGCGAGCUCCUUCACCUCCUCAGGUGCAUCGAGGUGUGUUUGAUUUAACACUUUUCAAAAUGAAAAGUACAAAAAAUGCCUAUGAUGUGAUUUUUGAUGGGAGUUAAAUUGUCAUCAUGAUGCGAGGAGGGGUGCAGAAUGAUAGACAAGAAUGUGACAGACCGCUCAUAUACAGUAAUAAAAAAAAAAAUCUAAUCAUGACAAGUCUUAAAGCUUGACGAGGAGAGUUUUAGCACCAUCUGCCGGACAAUCGGGAGCACUGAAGCCAUUCACAAUUAAAUGGAAAAAGUGAAAAAUCAACGCUUCGGACAUGUGACAGUUUCUGCCAUUUUUGGCUCCUCCCGGGACCAACAAUGAGAGUGUGGGCGGUUUCCCUCAC